RNAcentral lists this ribosomal RNA (301 nucleotides) under uncultured bacterium. RNAcentral describes it as "partial 16S ribosomal RNA". It matches the Rfam family "Bacterial small subunit ribosomal RNA", at positions 509 to 807 of the family's 1533-position model. The record is from RNAcentral.
CAGUAGCCGCGGUAAUACGAAGGGGGCUAGCGUUGCUCGGAAUUACUGGGCGUAAAGGGCGCGUAGGCGGACAGUUCGGUCAGGGGUGAAAGCCCGGGGCUCAACCUCGGAAUUGCCUUUGAUACUGGCUGUCUUGAGUACGGGAGAGGUGUGUGGAACUCCGAGUGUAGAGGUGAAAUUCGUAGAUAUUCGGAAGAACACCAGUGGCGAAGGCGACACACUGGCCCGUUACUGACGCUGAUGCGCGAAAGCGUGGGGAGCAAACAGGAUUAGAUACCCCAGUAGUCCCUGUCUCUUAUAC